GAGUGAACGCUGGCGGUAGGCCUACCACAUGCAAGUCGAACGGCAGCACAGUAAGAGCUUGCUCUUACGGGUGGCGAGUGGCGGACGGGUGAGGAAUACAUCGGAAUCUACUUUUUCGUGGGGGAUAACGUAGGGAAACUUACGCUAAUACCGCAUACGACCUACGGGUGAAAGCAGGGGAUCUUCGGACCUUGCGCGAUUGAAUGAGCCGAUGUCGGAUUAGCUAGUUGGCGGGGUAAAGGCCCACCAAGGCGACGAUCCGUAGCUGGUCUGAGAGGAUGAUCAGCCACACUGGAACUGAGACACGGUCCAGACUCCUACGGGAGGCAGCAGUGGGGAAUAUUGGACAAUGGGCGCAAGCCUGACCCAGCCAUACCGCGUGGGUGAAGAAGGCCUUCGGGUUGUAAAGCCCUUUUGUUGGGAAAGAAAAGCGGCAGGUUAAUACCCCGCUGUUCUGACGGUACCCAAAGAAUAAGCACCGGCUAACUUCGUG
RNAcentral lists this ribosomal RNA (493 nucleotides) under uncultured bacterium. RNAcentral describes it as "partial 16S ribosomal RNA". It matches the Rfam family "Bacterial small subunit ribosomal RNA", at positions 27 to 507 of the family's 1533-position model. The record is from RNAcentral.